Molecule: RNA transcript, 5310 nt
Organism: Dromiciops gliroides (monito del monte)
Lineage: Eukaryota; Metazoa; Chordata; Mammalia; Microbiotheria; Microbiotheriidae
Gene: PROM1
Gene name: prominin 1
Exons: 29
Source: RefSeq, a predicted model, not a curated record
GAGGAGGGGAGGGGUCUCCGGAACCCCAGCUGGUGGUCCCCUGAAACGGGAGGCCGGGUUCCGUGACUCAUAAAUCAUUCAUGAGCCGGGGCUUCGAGGGUUGCUGAGCACGGAACGAGUAAGGGAAGCUGGUUUGUGUGCGGGCAGAGGCGACGCUCUCAGGGAAGAGGCAGACGAGGAGGAGGAGAAGGCUGCAACGGUAGCAGCCGGUUGCUGCAGGAGGGCAGCGGGAGCCCACGACGUUGGCUGGUCCCUGGCCGCAGCUGCAGCCCUCGAACUAGGUGUUAAGGAGAGUAGGAGGGAGAGAGAAGCAGCUGCAAGCAGCUGCCGGGCGGCCUGGUGUCCCCGCUCACUCCCUGGAAAGACCUCCUCCAUCAGUUCGUAGCAGAUGCCUACUUAAUCCGGGGAGGAGGAGGAGCAGCAGCCAGUGCAGAAGGCUGCUGAACAUACCUGCCCAUGCCACUGGCCUGCUUCACAGAAACCCAUCUCUUCACCUGCCAGGAAGAUCUCCAAGCUUCAGGAAAAGAAGCAGCCCUCCCCAAAGCCUUCCUCAUGCUAUCUGCAUUUUGUUAAACUAUGGCAUUUGUCCUCUGUCUGCUGCUGCUGCUGGCGCUGCUGGGAAGCCCUGUUUCACAGGGGCAUUCUGUGCACAAGACAACUGUUGGAACUUUGGAUCUGGGCUACUUACCUGCUGGAAACUAUGAGACGAACCUGUAUGUUGAUUCUGGGCCAAUUGAAAUUUUGUUUCGAAUUGUCCGAGCCUUCCUUUCUGUGGUGCAGCCCAACCCUUUCCCUGAAGACCUCAUCCGAAAGGCUGUUCAGCAAAGGUUUGAGCACACAAAGAAUGACUAUCAGAAGCCAGAAUUUAUAGUCUUGACACUGAAGGUUGCCCACUAUGAAAUCGGUUUUAUUCUUUUGGCUGGCCUGGGAUUGCUGUUUGUUGUGCUUAUACCUCUCGUGGGCCUGUGCUUUUGCAUGUGCCGUUGCUGCAACAACUGUGGAGGGGAGAUGCACCAGAGGCAGAAGAAGAAUGGGGAUUGUCGCAGGCGCUGUUUUGCCACAUCACUCUUUGUGGUUUCCUUGAUAAUGAGUAUCGGUGUUUUUUGUGCGUUUGUCACAAACCAGCACCUUACAACUCAAGUUCAAGGAAUGCGGCCACUAAUAAAGAGCAAUUUUAAGGAUCUGAGAACUCUUCUGACGGAUACUCCAGAGCAAAUCAAUUAUCUCGUGAGCCAGUUUGAUGCCCCAAAGAAUCAAGCACUGUUAGAUCUUGACAAUAUUGGACCAUUGCUCGGACGCCGAGUCCAAGCUCAGUUAGGGAAACGAGUCCUCCCGGCCCUUGAUGCAGUUCUCACUAUGGCAGGAGCAAUCAGAGAAACCAGAGAGGCAUUAGAGAAUGUGAGUGCCUCUAUGGAGAUCCUGCAGGAGGGGACCAACAAACUCAGCGCCAACCUGACCAAUGCCAAAGAGAACCUGAAAAAUACCCUCAAUGAUGCUGCUUGCUCGGAGGCUCAAGCCAGUUCCACCUGCAAUGUUAUCAAGAAUUCUUUAAACCAGCUGAGUAUCAACGCCAACUUCAGCCGGCUUCCGCCAGUGACCUCACAGCUUGCCAAAGUCAAUGAAGUUCUUAAAAUUGAUUUAGCCAGAUUAGUCCAAAAGGGAUAUGCGGCAUUUAAUGAUACGCCUAAUAUGGUGCAGAAUCAAACCAAGAAUAUUAUAUCAGCCCUUCCUUAUGUCAAAAGUGUUUUGGAUUCCAUUGGUACAAACAUCACUGUUGUCAUCAAAAUGCUUCCUAUUCAGAAGAUGAUAACAGAUUUCGUUAUUUAUCUUACUCAGACUGAGACAUAUAUUGACAAUUAUUUCCCCUUAGUUGAACAAUAUGACUUUUACAGAUGGCUAUGUUGUUUAAUCGCCUGCUGUUUGCUGAUCCUGAUUCUGGUCUUUUACUACCUGGGAUUAAUGUGUGGUACCUGCGGUUAUAAGAAACACAAGACUCCCACCAACCGUGGCUGUGUAUCAAAUACUGGAGGCAACUUCCUCAUGGCUGGAGUUGGAUUCAGUUUCCUGUUUUCCUGGGCUUUGAUGAUCAUAGUGGUUUCUACAUUUGUUUUGGGCGGCAAUGUAGAAAAAUUGGUCUGUGAACCCUUUAAAGAAAAGAGUAUAUUUCAGGUUUUGGAUACCCCUUAUUUAUUCAAUCCACAGUGGAGAAACUACCUUUCGGGUCUUCUGUUUAAAAAUCCUGAUGUUAAUCUCACCUUUAAACAAGUUUACAGUGACUGCAAGGAAAAUAAAGGCAUUUAUACCUCUCUGCAGCUUGAUAAAUUCUACAAUAUCAGCAAAUUUCUGGCCAUUAGUCAGUAUACCCAGGAUCUAACGAUUCAGUUUGAAAGUAUUAAAAUCAACCUUAGCACCAUAGUUUUACUGGAUGAAGUAGGAAAAGAGAACCUCUGGAAUUUCAGUUUCUCAGGAAUAGAUGGGAUUGAUUUCGCAGAGUACUUGGCUGAGGUGAAUAAGAGUAUAACAAAAGUGGACCUUUUAUCAUUUGCCAAUGACUUAGAGGCAAGAGCAGAACAGUUGCCCAAAGGAGCUUUGGAAAAUGCCCUAAAAGGGCAUGCAAGCAACAUUCGAAUGAUUCAUCAUCAACGUGUGAUCCCUUUGGAGCAAGAAAUGACUGUCAAGAAAUAUGUUAAAGCCAGGAGCACUUUAAAUCAAAGUAUCAGGUUACUACAAAAGACAGCAACUGAACUUAUGGUUAAAGUGUCUCAAGUCAUUGCCACUGUGGAAAGCGCUCAGCUCCUCAUUAAUAAUAAUGCUUCCUUUAUUAUUAUUGAGGAAACUAAGAAGUAUAUGGAUGCGAUCAUAGACUACUUCGAACAGUAUAUUCAGUGGGUCAUAGAUUCACUCACCAUGGAUGUAGCAGCCUGCAAACCCCUUGCCAACGUCAUAGACACUGCUGUAGAGAUAUUUCUGUGUAGCUAUAUAACUAACUCUGUGAACGCAUUCUGGUUUGGCUUGGGAGGUGCCACGAUGUUUUUGGUUCCUGCUUUAAUUUUUGCUGUAAAGCUAUCCAAAUUUUAUCGUCGAAUGGAUUCAGAAGAUGUCUAUGAUGAUUCUUCUGUCUCAGGGACUUGGCAUUUUACUUUAUGAUAACUGUUUUUACUAGUUUUCUUUCAGCCAUAUGUAUGGGGUUUUUGGUUUGUUUCUGUGUUUUUUGGUUUUGGUUUUUGCCUCACUGUCCCAUGAACUUAUAUACUCUGUUUGUUUUUUUAAUUUCACUCAUUGUGCUUCCUGGCCUGUUUCUCCCCAAGUUUGCACAUCCUUUGGUACAUCCAUUCUACUAUAGUAGAAAGGAAAUAUGGGAAAGCAGCUGUUGCCUUCAUGAGUAUUUUUUUUAAAUAAUUGUUUCCCUCUUUGUUUUAUAUCUUUUAGUGUUGAAACUUUACCCAUGAAAAAGUAAGACUUUUUUUUUAACAGUAUUUAUUUCAAAUCUUUUCAUAAAGUGGGUAUGGGGGGGGUUAUGUUACUCCAUGCUGGACCUUUCAUUAAUAAGAAACAGGUCUGUGAUAAAAACAGGUCCAGAUGAAAAUAAAGUAAAUGUAAAGCCUCUUAAAAACAGAUUUAUAUGCAUCUCGAUGAUAUCUAUAUAUUUAAUGUACAAAAGUAGUUGUUUAGAAUGUUUGGUGGUGGUUUCUAAAGAUUACAGAAUUUGAGUUGACCUUUUUACUGGCUGUGUCAACAUUAGCUUGUUUUUGUAUAGUCUCCAUUGUCAUUUACAUUGCCUUUGUAACCCAUGUUGUCACUUCUUCAUCUUAGCAAUAACAUAAGUCUUUUUUUUUUGGUAUAUUUAUUUUGUUACAGUAUGGAAAAUGGUAAUUAUGGUUAUCAUAAAGAUCAUUUAUAUGGUCUUCACAAUCCUGUUAUGACAAGUGCCAUGGAACAGUGGUAGAGGAUACUGAAAUUGGAUGAGCCUCAAGAUACUUACAUGGAAGAGAACAUAGAAUUCUACCUAUAUUCCAACCUACAAGCACCUUUCAAAUCCAUUAUGGUUUUUAAUGGUUUCCUAGUAACACAGCUUUAAAUCAAGGGACCAUAUGAUUAUGGGGUGCUAUGAUAUGAGCUAAUGGAUGGUGCAGUUCCUGACUGGAGCUCUAUCACCAGCACAUUUCUCUGGUUGACCACUGUUCAAGGCUAAUGCCACUGGAUUUUAAAUGUUAUGGGGGUGGGGGGCAGAUGUUAGUUUUUGGUUUUUACUUUUUUACACUGGGUUUCUAUCUCAAAACCACCCAUAUCUGUAUACUGGCUCUGUUUAAUGUUAUUUUUCAGGGAACAAGUGCCCAUGUAUAAAUGUUCCAUUUUAUUAUAUGGGAAAUGCAUUAAACUGACAACGUUUACAUUUAAAAUACAUUUUAUAUGCAGUAAUUUUGUAUAUAUACCUUUUGUUACCACAGUCUUAUGAGUGUUUUAAAAAAAAAAAAUUUUAGUAUUGAGUCAUUUACUUUCAAAAUGAGCAUAAACCAGCAUGAUCGGUGUUGAUUGUUGGUGCUGUUAAAGAAUCCAUUUCUUAAUAAAGUAUGUCUGUGAAUUCUACAGUCUGUCAUUUUGGGCCCACAUGCCACCUACAGGGUAUUUCUUCUACUCUUUAAAUGAUCCAUUAAGAUCAUUUUGAAAAGAAUACACAGAAGACAAGUGUGAGAAUCAGAUUGAUUCUUCAUAGUAAUUUGAAAAAAAAACAUUUAAAAAUAUAUAGGGUGCUUGGUUUCUUCAGUUAGCUGGAAACUGGAAUGGUUUUUAAUAAGUGUCAACUCUAGGGGGAUUUAAAUUUAUUUUUUCUGAUUUGUGAAUCUGGGAGAAAAAAGACUGAAGCUAUGUCUCUUGAGGGUGAAGGGGGAUGAUGCUUGGGAUGGAUUCGAGAUAUUCAGAACUAUUUGACCACAAAAAUAAUUCCUGUGGUUUUCAGAUAAUUCCUCUAUUAAAAUGAGGCCAUCUGGGAAAUGGUCACAGUUUUCAGACAGACACGAUUCUGGAAGAGUACUAUUUUCCAGAACCCCUGUGUUGUUGUUUUUUCUGUUUAUAUGAUAAAUAAUUCUUUGAAAAGAGAUCCUAACAAGUAUGUGAAAGCACAUAAUAAUUGUUUGCUGUGAAUUUUUUUCUACUAGAUUACUCCCCCAUCGGGUCAGAAAAGGCAGAAUUUCAAAUAGGCAAAAUGUAGCACAUGUAUAAAGUUACUCAAAAUGUCAGGUUUUAAAGAAUUUGUAUUUUCACUUGAAAAAUGAUGUCCCCAACUCAUUCCAAUAAAAACAAUAUGCCCUA